Molecule: non-coding RNA, 563 nt
Organism: Nothobranchius furzeri (turquoise killifish)
Lineage: Eukaryota; Metazoa; Chordata; Actinopteri; Cyprinodontiformes; Nothobranchiidae
Source: RefSeq, a predicted model, not a curated record
AUCAUCUGCCUCAGUGCUGGAGACUUUGUGGUGGCGGAGGAUGAGCCUGAGGAGGACGGUGGAGAUGAUGAGGGGGAGGCUGGUUUGGAGGAUGUCAGUGGUGCACGCUGGCGGGACCAGCUGUGCUGUGAGGUGUCUGCCCUGGAGGAGGUUCCACUGGAUCAUGACUACUGUUAACAGUCUUGGUCAUGUAGCAGCCGUCGACAGCCAGCCCUGCAAACCGAUGGACUAUGCAGUGGACAGUCAAGACGCAUCUUGAAGCUCUUUCUGCAGACCACCCAGUAGGAUGCUUCACUUGUCAACCAGAAAAGAGCAGCCACGGUCUCAGCUCCAGCACUCCAUCCAUGACAUUCAGAUCCAGCAGCCCUGUUAGGGACUUCCUGCUUCAAAGUUGUUGAAACGGUCUUGGAACAGGACACUCAGGUUAAUCCUGCACCAAAUAUGCAUUUUAUUUUUCUUUGUCAGAUAUUUCUCUUAUUUUGUAUGUUUCCCUUCAUGAUUUUGUGUAUAUAUGUUCAACCAUGUUCAAACAAAAUUGUUGUAAAUAAAAGUAUUAAGUUUGA